CGCGUGUUUAAAAAGUCGAAAACAUGAUGAUGCACUGUCAUUUUCGAGGCGUUUUGUCGAGAUUUCAAAGGAAAAUUGCUAAUGUUUUGACGAAGACAUUGGAAAGACAACAGUUUGAGUUGUUGAUUGAUUAGUAAUUUGAUGGAAAAAGAGCAAGAAAUGUUUAAAGAUUAUGUGAUGGUAGCAGGCAACCCGAACCGGCUGGGCUUCCUUUGCAGUAAGGACUUCCACCACAGGAAGACCAAAGGUCAAUGAAGUCAUGAAUGGAUGGAUGGAUUAAAAGAACGAGACGCAAAGACAUCGUAUAUAAGGUGAUAAGAAUGAUGAUUUAAAAAGCAAAGCCAGAUAAAGUUAUAAAAACGGUUCUUUCUCACGCAAUCGCAUCAUUUCCUAAGGGAAAGAGGAUCUGGACUCCUGGGCCUCCUGUGUUAAGAACAUAGCCAAAUAUGGUGUGAAUUGAACCCAUUCAAAACAAGGAAGUGUUGACGGCGUUAAACAUGAUUAAGGUACAAAU
Molecule: unclassified non-coding RNA, 514 nt
Filed under: Exaiptasia diaphana
Lineage: Eukaryota; Metazoa; Cnidaria; Anthozoa; Actiniaria; Aiptasiidae
Description: uncharacterized LOC110251255, transcript variant X2
Source: RNAcentral